RNAcentral lists this ribosomal RNA (111 nucleotides) under Enterococcus faecium. RNAcentral describes it as "partial 16S ribosomal RNA". The record is from RNAcentral. Lineage: Bacteria; Bacillati; Bacillota; Bacilli; Lactobacillales; Enterococcaceae.
UUUUUAUGAGAGUUUGAUCCUGGCUCAGGACGAACGCUGGCGGCGUGCCUAAUACAUGCAAGUCGAACGCUUCUUUUUCCACCGGAGCUUGCUCCACCGGAAAAAGAGGAG